RNAcentral lists this unclassified non-coding RNA (501 nucleotides) under uncultured Glomeromycotina. RNAcentral describes it as "SSU rRNA". It matches the Rfam family "Eukaryotic small subunit ribosomal RNA", at positions 591 to 1092 of the family's 1831-position model. The record is from RNAcentral. Lineage: Eukaryota; Fungi; Glomeromycota.
CCAAUAGCGUAUAUUAAAGUUGUUGCAGUUAAAAAGCUCGUAGUUGAACUUCGGGGUCUACCCAUUGGUCAGGCUUAAUUGUCUGUACUGGUGAGAUGGAUCUCUACCUUCUGAGGAACUUUCAUGCCAUUUAUUUGGUGUGGUUGGAAAUCAGGACUGUUACUUUGAAAAAAUUAGAGUGUUUAAAGCAGACUAUCGUCUGAAUACAUUAGCAUGGAAUAAUGAAAUAGGACGGACUGAUUCUAUUUCGUUGGUUUCUAGGAUCACCGUAAUGAUUAAUAGGGAUAGUUGGGGCAUUAGUAUUCAAUUGUCAGAGGUGAAAUUCUUGGAUUUAUUGAAGACUAACUACUGCGAAAGCAUUUGCCAAGGAUGUUUUCAUUAAUCAAGAACGAAAGUUAGGGGAUCGAAGACGAUCAGAUACCGUCGUAGUCUUAACCAUAAACUAUGCCGACUAGGGAUCGGACGAAGUUAAUUUUAUAAUGACGCGUUCGGCACCUUACG